CAGAGUCAUGUGGGGCCUAAUAUUCUUCUUCUUUUUUUUGAGAGAAAGGUAGCAUGCUACCCGCUUCGUUUAUUUCAUUUAAAAAUAAACUUACUGAAAAUGUGAAUCAACUAGGAUUCAAACUUGGGUCUCGGGUACCAACCAUUAUGCCCUUUUGCCACUUGCGCCAGGGGCCUAAUAUUCUUAGUAGAGCUUACACUUGUACAAUGUAGAAGUUUAAUGAU
This 224-nucleotide long non-coding RNA is filed under the name Ananas comosus (pineapple). Its description in RNAcentral is "long non-coding RNA (ACOM_LNC005677)". Lineage: Eukaryota; Viridiplantae; Streptophyta; Magnoliopsida; Poales; Bromeliaceae. The record is from RNAcentral.